CGGGUCUCGAGUGUCCAAACUGCAGCGGCCGGACAGGAGUAGCAGGAACCUUUCAAAUAUCCACAUUGCCACUGCUGUGCCUGGUAGAAUUUUGAUUCAUCAUGGAUCACAUGUCACCUGAAGAUAUUCAGCUAAGGGCUAACCAGCUUACUGAUGAGUCUCUGGAAAGUACAAGGAAAAUGCUUGACUUAGCCGUGCAGUCUCAAGAUGCAGGAAUCCAGACCAUCACCAUGCUGGGUGAACAAGGGGAACAACUAAACCGCAUAGAAGAAGGCAUGGAUCAGAUAAAUAAAGAUAUGAGAGAGACAGAGAAGACUUUAACAGAACUCAACAAGUGCUGUGGCCUUUGUGUCUGUCCAUGUAACAGGACGAAGAACUUUGAGUCUAGCAAGGCCUAUAAGGCAACAUGGGGAGAAGGCGAGGACAACUCACCUAGCAAUGUGGUAUCCAAGCAACCGGCCAGAGUUACAAAUGGGCAGCCUCAGCAGCCAGCCACC
Octodon degus (degu) is the source of this 497-nucleotide RNA transcript. It is a transcript of the gene named synaptosomal-associated protein 23 pseudogene, with no coding region annotated. NCBI's taxonomy places the organism in Eukaryota, Metazoa, Chordata, Mammalia, Rodentia, Octodontidae. The transcript has a single exon. The record is from RefSeq and is a predicted model, not a curated record.